This 444-nucleotide ribosomal RNA is filed under the name uncultured bacterium. RNAcentral describes it as "partial 16S ribosomal RNA". It matches the Rfam family "Bacterial small subunit ribosomal RNA", at positions 355 to 792 of the family's 1533-position model. The record is from RNAcentral.
UAGGGAAUCUUCCACAAUGGACGCAAGUCUGAUGGAGCAACGCCGCGUGAGUGAAGAAGGUUUUCGGACCGUAAAGCUCUGUUGUUGGUGAAGAAGGAUAGAGGUAGUAACUGGCCUUUAUUUGACGGUAAUCAACCAGAAAGUCACGGCUAACUACGUGCCAGCAGCCGCGGUAAUACGUAGGUGGCAAGCGUUGUCCGGAUUUAUUGGGCGUAAAGCGAGCGCAGGCGGAAGAAUAAGUCUGAUGUGAAAGCCCUCGGCUUAACCGAGGAAUUGCAUCGGAAACUGUUUUCUUGAGUGCAGAAGAGGAGAGUAGAACUCCAUGUGUAGCGGUGGAAUGCGUAGAUAUACGGAGGAAUACCAGUGGCGAAGGCGGCUCUCUGGUCUGCAACUGACGCUGAGGCUCGAAAGCAUGGGUAGCGAACAGGAUUAGAUACCCUGGUA